UGGGUUGUUGCUCAGUGGUAGAGCACUUGCCUAGCAUGUAUGAGGCACUGGGUUUGAUCCUCAGCACUGCUA
This 72-nucleotide transfer RNA is filed under the name Ictidomys tridecemlineatus (thirteen-lined ground squirrel). Its description in RNAcentral is "Spermophilus tridecemlineatus (thirteen-lined ground squirrel) tRNA". It matches the Rfam family "tRNA". From Rfam's summary of the family: Transfer RNA (tRNA) molecules are approximately 80 nucleotides in length. Their secondary structure includes four short double-helical elements and three loops (D, anti-codon, and T loops). Further hydrogen bonds mediate the characteristic L-shaped molecular structure. tRNAs have two regions of fundamental functional importance: the anti-codon, which is responsible for specific mRNA codon recognition, and the 3' end, to which the tRNAs corresponding amino acid is attached (by aminoacyl-tRNA synthetases). tRNAs cope with the degeneracy of the genetic code in two manners: having more than one tRNA (with a specific anti-codon) for a particular amino acid; and 'wobble' base-pairing, i.e. permitting non-standard base-pairing at the 3rd anti-codon position. The record is from Rfam by way of RNAcentral. Lineage: Eukaryota; Metazoa; Chordata; Mammalia; Rodentia; Sciuridae.